CCUGAGAAACCCAAAAGAUCGAAUGGGGAGAUUCAUCGUCAGCUCAUUUUGUAUGUACAUAGGUUACGAUGUGAGUUACCACCUCGUGCGGUAUUGCUUGUACGUACUUAUGUGUUUAUUUGCAAGAUGUUGUCGGCGUGCACUUCUCCCCUAGUAGAACAUCGCGACCCGUUGGGUGUCGGUUUAAACGCCAAUAUGGUAGCCUUUAAUGUUUAAUAACAUUAAAGACUUUUGGUAUAUACUGACCGGCUGCCCGGCGGUACUCGUAUGGUAUUUAGCCGCAUUUUUUAUUAUGCGUCCAUUGCCGUCGCAAGUGAGGCUAAUUUUUUGCAGUACGUACAGUUGUCCGUCGCAGAAAUUGGCCAGCUGUUGGCUGUACGGCACUCUAGGACAGGCUAAAAMAAAAUCACGUAUAUACCGGUCGGCGAUGCUACUGCUUUGGGUACUUUCAGGACCCGUCUUGAAACACGGACCAAGGAGUCUAACAUGUACGCGAGUUAUUGGGAUAUUUUGUUAAUUAAACCUAAAGGCGUAAUGAAAGUAAAAGUCGUCCUUGCGUCGACUGAGGGAGGAUAAGUUGUGUUAUAAUAUACAAUUUCGCACUCCCGGGGCGUCUCAUUCUCAUUAUGAGAAGAGGCGCACCUAG
Molecule: ribosomal RNA, 646 nt
Filed under: Gymnobracon denticoxa
Lineage: Eukaryota; Metazoa; Arthropoda; Insecta; Hymenoptera; Braconidae
Description: eukaryotic LSU rRNA
Rfam family: Eukaryotic large subunit ribosomal RNA
Source: RNAcentral